This 225-nucleotide long non-coding RNA is filed under the name Elaeis guineensis (African oil palm). Its description in RNAcentral is "long non-coding RNA (EGUI_LNC025510)". The record is from RNAcentral. Lineage: Eukaryota; Viridiplantae; Streptophyta; Magnoliopsida; Arecales; Arecaceae.
GACGAGCAAAUGAGAAAUUACUGCAUGCAUCAAGUGAAUAAAUACAAAUAUGCACGAUAGAAAACGUGCAAUCGAAAAUUGAUGAAAUACAAAGGGUUGUAUGGCAUGUUAUCCAUCGUGAGAUUUGCGCAAUCUAAUUUAAAUUUAAAAUUAAAAUGAUAUGUUUAACAUAUAAUUUUAAUUUUAAGUUUAAAAUUAAAUUUAAAUUUUAAAAUAUACUGCGGU